This 694-nucleotide long non-coding RNA is filed under the name Marmota monax (woodchuck). The record is from RNAcentral. Lineage: Eukaryota; Metazoa; Chordata; Mammalia; Rodentia; Sciuridae.
ACUGGGUGUCAUGCUCUAUGAAAUUUUACAUAGAAGACCUUCAAAUAUAUUAAUACCUCCAGUUUAGAUUCAAUCUCACACAGGCUUCUUCUGUACUUUUUUUAAUAUUUAUUUUUUAGUUUUUUAGGUGGACACCAUAUCUUUACUUUUCAUUUUAUUUUUAUGUAGUGCUGAGGAUUGAACCCAAUGCCUCAUGCAUGCUCGGUGAACACUCUACCCCUGAGCCACAACCCAGCCCUUCUUCUGCACUUUAUUCUCUAUUUUCCAUUUUCUCUGAUGACCCUGAUUCCCAACAAUUUCAAUAUGAUUCUGAAUUUCUUCUGUAUUCCAAUGAACACAGAAUUUUUCCACUGAUACCACUGCUUAUAAUGAACCCACCCAGGUAAGGUUAGGGAUUUCUUUGUGGCACUCUUUUCCUCACUUAGAAUGUAUCUCCCAGGAUGCACAGGGAAAUGGAUUCAAAAAAUAAUUGUAUUAUUUUUUUUCUCUUGGAAGUCAUGUUAUGAAUGUGAUAUGUGGUUAAGUUCAUUUGUUUCUGUGUGUAUUCAGUGGAGGGUUUGUUUCCAUUAUUUUAGUGCGUUUUUGAAUAUGCAAAUUCUUGACCUAGUUCAAAAGUCAAAAUGGGGGCUGGGGUUGUGGCUCAGUGGUAGCGCACUCACCUAGCACAAGUGAGGCCCUGGGUUUGAUCCUCAGC